GUUAUUUUAAAUUUUCUAUGAAAUUUUAUAUAUCUGAGUACAGCUAAAAACAUGUGUUCCCUUGCUAGAUAUUAGGUCAUACUAUAUUUAUACUAAAUCGAUAUUUUGUUGCCAUAAUGACGUAUCACAUAACAACAUAGAACUCGGUGGCUUAUGGCAAUAAGUUUUCUUCUGUGUCUACAGGUUGGCUGAGAUGGCUUUGCUUGAUCUUUGUAUUGGCUAUGCUGGAAUUCAGGUUUCCUGGUUUCAGGUCUGCUCUGUAUGUCGUCACAUUUCUCAUGGUGGUUCAUAGCAGGACAAAAGCCUUGGCUUGAAAUUAGCACACUGUCAUUUCUCCCUGCAUUCUGUUGGCCAAAACAAGUCACAGGGCCAGGCCCCACACCAAUAAAAUGUAGGAAAGAAUAUUCUACCUACUUCUCUGAACUGCAGAGUCAUACGACAAGAGAGACUGAGUGACUAAAUAGUCAAACUGCCUCUAGUCAAUAUAAUAAAAACUGUAUCGUAGGAGAUUAGCUUUAUAGUAAUCAUGCAAAUUUAAUAUACUAUGAAUCUGGACAAUAUGAUAGGAAGAUAAUAGUUCAAUUUGUAAAUGAUAUUCGUCCAAAUGGCUAACCAACUGAAAAGAAACACAUUUGAAUUCCUAUUUAACACUAUAUUCAAAUAAAUUUUAGCAUAAAUAUUAUAAAUUUAAAUAUCAAAAAACAAGUUAUAUCUAUAAAAAAUUUAGAGGAUUUUGGGUAGAGCUGUUUAAAUAGAAAGGCAAUUCUGAAGCUUUAAAAGAAAAUAUGGACAUAUUUAUGUAGAUUUAAAUUUUUUGCAUGUGGCAAAAAGUAACACCAGUAAACAACAUUAUUUGGGGAAAAUAUUUUUGAAAUAUAUGUGGCAGUAUAUAUAGUUUAUGAUGACCAAAUAUAGUAUAGUAAAAGUUCUUACAUACUGAUAAAGAACAAAUUCACCCAAUAGGGAAAUGAAGUUUAUAAAAAGACGUUUCAUAGGAGAGUAAAUUCCUAUCACAAAUACAUGUAUCAAAAUAAGCUGAGCCUACUUUUGUACCCAAUUUUCAGAGAAAUCAAAGAAAUCAGGAGUUCCUGUUGCAGCGCAGUGGUUAACGAAUCAGACUAGGAACCACGAGGUUGCGGGUUUGAUCCCUGCCCUCGCUCAGUGGGUUGACGAUCUGGCGUUGCCGUGAGCUGUGGUGUAGGUUGUAGAUGCGGCUUGGACCCUGUGUUGCUGUGGCUGUGGUGUAGGCCGGCGGCUACAGGUCCGAUUAGACCCCUAGCCUGGGAACCUCCAUAUGGCGCAGGAGCAGCCCAAGAAAUGGCAAAAAGACAAAAAAAAAAAAAAAAAAAAAAAAAGAAAGAAAUCAAAGUUCUCAGUAAAUUCUGAGAACUUAUUUUAUACUCAUUAUAUUGGCAAAAAUUACAAAAAGCAUGAUAACACCUACUGCUGGUGGGGAUCAUAUAAAGACACUUUAAAGUAUUAAUGGUGGAAACAUGCAUCAUUGCAGGCUCUUGUGGAAAUCAAUCUGGCAGAGUUAUUAAAAUGAAAAUCACGUUAUUCAACCAGAAAUAGCAUACUAUGUGACCCUAUCCUAUAGAAAUAAAAAUAUGAACACAUAAAUAUAUAUAUGUAAGUUAACUGUUUAUUUCUUUAUUAUUCAAAGAAAUAAAACUUGGGAACCAGAUAAGAAUUUAUAAGUAGGAAUGUGCAUAAAUCAUGGCAUAUUUUUACAAAAUUAUUUUCAUGGUAUAAUUAUACAGCAUUAUUUUUAUAUAGCUAUUAGUAAGGAAGACUUAAGAGGUAACAAGAAUAGUGAGAGGACAUGGAAGGGAAGUAAGCAUCCAAACACUGAGAACAUACCAGAGACAAAGAUUCAGAGCAUUUGGGAUUCAACAAGUCUUGGUUGGGUGUUCAUUGUAACAUAGGAAACUAAUUACCAUCGUAACUGGGAAACUCAUUCUAAAUCCACAUACCUGACUUGGAGAGAAUGCUUAGAGACCCAUGUGUUUAGAACCUGGCUGGCUAUCGGCUUAUUCCCUACUUGUAGGUUCUGUGAGACCUUAGAGGGGUGGGGCUGGGGCAGAGAUCAGGAAGCUGGAGUGUGUAGUAAUUACUGGAAACCUCAACCAACCCCUGUGUCUGGGUUUGACACUCUUAUUAUACCUAAAAGAAAAUCAUAUGAUUUUAAAGCUGACUUCAUUUUACUGAAGAAGCAACCAGAGUCCAUAUAUUGAAUAAUUUAUUUGUGUUCACCAUUUUGAGGCAGAUCCAGAAGUCAAGUUCUCAUCUCUCUACACUUUGACCCUAUAUUUAUAUUGAUUUAAUGAAUUUCUGAGCAUUCUUUAAUUUUUCUUAUUUUGAAUCUUAUUUGUUUCUCACUACUAAUCACCUUCUCUUUCAAAGCAGCUUAAGGUUCCAAUUUAUUGAGUAGCUAUCUUGUGCCAGAUUCUUUGCAUACUUUGUCAUUAAUCCUUGCAACGACACUCUAAAUUUGGACAACAGUAUAACAAUUUUAACUUUGAUGAAACAGCCAAAGAAAGAUAAAUAAUUUGCCCACAGUAAGGAAAUUAUGCAGAGGGGAUCAGAACUGAUAACAGAGCCUAAGUUCUCUCUACUUCAUCACACUGCCUUCACUUCACCUCCACCUCCACCAAUUCUAGUUGGUGCCUCCUUGGGGUGAUAUUUCCCCUGUCUUUUCUUCUACAGCAGUAGUUCUCAACUUAUGUGACUAUGAGGAAUAUUUUCUAACACCAAACAUUUUCUCAGACCAGUAUCUCAGAGUAGUUAUAUUUAAUUAUUUGCAAUUACUGAUAUAAUACAUAAUGAAAAUAAACGUAUGAAUUUAAUAAACACAUCUUUUAGAUUAAUUUACAUUUGAUUCAUCUUACAGUAUUGACAGAAAUUUGAAAAGAAUAGUGAUAUAUGCAAUCAUAUUAUCUCAUCAUUUGAAAAUGCCUGAAAUGUAUACAAAUCUCAACAUUCCUAAUUAUAUUUCAGGGGCUCCCCAGAGAUCCACAAUUCUAUGGCUGGAAGACAGUGUUCUGUAAGUUUUCAGCAUCUGUUCCUUCUGCUCCCUUAAGUUACCAGCCUGCAGUUUGCACGGGCUGGCUUUUAUCUAGAGUAAUUUUUGACUUCCUUCUGCAUUCACUGCAUGAUCAGUGGCCUUAUAAUUGGUCUGCUCAAAAUGAUGAAACAAGGUGAUAUUGGACCAGCUUCUUGCUCCUAAUCGCUUCUUGGUCCUAGAGUAAACAUUGAAGGUAGAACCUCAUUUCUCCUCUACCUCCCAGCUUUGAGGCAACACUGAAUCCUUCCACCCACCCAACCUCUUGUCAAUUCAUUUCAGAGUUGUCAUCUCUCUGUAUCACUCACCUAUCACUAACCCCUGACUUAUUUACUUGGUACAUGACAUUUACCUACCUACCACCACCAUCCUGCCCAGCUCAAUUCUAACAUAAGUGGGCCUUUUGAUUGUUUAAUCUAUGAUCUACAUCGGUGUUUAUUCGUGCUAUAAUUUGGGCUUUUGGUAGAGGCAAGAAGUGGUAUGGAGUUCUGACCUAGUGUUUGCUAAGUUUUGGUAUGGAACCAUGCUUCUUGUUUGUCUGAUCUGCAAUUCUAAUGCAAGUAAUGACUUCAAGGUUCUUGUUCAGUUCUAUAAUUUCAAGACUUUCUGAGUCACAGAAUAUUCCCUUAGGAACCCAUUCAUAUAAGAGUCCCCAUGUCAGAAUUCCUGAAUCCAGGUACUACCAUCUUUCCCACCUAUACCAUCAUACAAUAGUGUGAUCCAACUUAACGACACCAGUAUUCUGCUCUGGUCUCAUUCUAAUUUAGUUUGAGAAGCCAACCUAUUUUACUUCCUCUCACUAUCCCAUACACUCACAUACUUUGCCAGCCUUGUUUUGCCCUUGCUAGUCUUCUCCAGCUGCUGGAUUAUAGGUUUGUAACAUAUAUUUACUUAUCAGGAAAGCUGUGCUGUUUCAUUUUAGACCUUCAUUCUACUUGCCCAAAGUGUGAAUGAAUUUGGCCACAAUCUUAGAAAAAUCAUGCCCAGUAUUUCAAUUUGAGGAAACAACUCGGUAAAGCCACAAUUUUCAACAGUGGGUUAGGGUAGGAUUUUCUCUACACAUAGUCUAUAUAGGUCAAUGGAGAGAAGGUGAUGAACACUGAAUUCUUAAGAAACUUGGGUCUAAGUUGGGGAACUGAACAAGAUAUAGUCAGUAAAUCAAGAGUGGGUCAAAAAAGAUAUAAAGCAAAAUAUAAACAAGCAAUAAAAAUCCAGGUUUUUAAAUUCAAGGGGCUCAGAUAAAAUAAGUGAAAUUCAGACAUAAAUAUGGAGCAAAGGAACACUCAAACAUUGCUGGUUGCUGGUUGGAAAUGUAAAAUGGCACAGCUACUCUGGCAGUUUCUUGAAAAACUAAAAUACUGUUACCAUCCGACUCAGCAAUCUCUCUCUUGAUAUUGCCUCUGAGGAAUUCAACACAUUAAGUCCACACAAAAACCUGCACACAAAUGUUUUUAAAAUGCCCAAACUUGGAAGCAACCAUAAUAUCUUCAGUAGCUGAAUGAUAAAUUAUUGUACAUUCAUCUAAUGGGAUAUUAUUCAGUGCUAAAUAGAAAUGAGAUAUCAAGCUAUGAAAAGACGCGGGGGAAACAUUAAAUGCAUUUUACUAAGUGAGAGCGCAAGUCAAUCUGAGAAGGCUACAUACUGCAUGACUGCAACUAUGUGAUAUCCUAGGAAAAGCAAAGAUGUGGAAACAAAAAGAUCAGUGAUUGCAAAGGGUGGGAUGAUGAAGAAAUGAAAAGGUGAAUGGGCAGAGAAAACAGAAGUUUUUAGGGCAGUGAAAAUACUCUGUAUGAUAUUACAAUUAUGGAUAUGUGUCAUUGUGUUUUUUUCCAAACCCACAGAAUGUUCUACAUUAAGAGUAAACCUUAAGAUAAACUAUGGACUUUGAGUUUAAA
RNAcentral lists this long non-coding RNA (4956 nucleotides) under Sus scrofa (pig). RNAcentral's name for it is "lncRNA (ENSSSCG00035055491.1)". The record is from RNAcentral. Lineage: Eukaryota; Metazoa; Chordata; Mammalia; Artiodactyla; Suidae.